UGCCAGCAGCCGCGGUAAUACGGGAGUGGCAAGCGUUGUUCGGAAUUACUGGGCGUAAAGGGCGCGUAGGCGGUCUUUUAAGUUAGGCGUGAAAGCCCCGGGCUCAACCCGGGAACUGCGCUUAAUACUGGAAGACUAGAAAACGGAAGAGGGUAGUGGAAUUCCCAGUGUAGAGGUGAAAUUCGUAGAUAUUGGGAAGAACACCAGUGGCGAAAGCGGCUACCUGGUCCGAUUUUGACGCUGAGGCGCGAAAGCGUGGGGAGCAAACAGGAUUAGAUA
This 279-nucleotide ribosomal RNA is filed under the name uncultured bacterium. RNAcentral's name for it is "partial 16S ribosomal RNA". It matches the Rfam family "Bacterial small subunit ribosomal RNA", at positions 506 to 784 of the family's 1533-position model. The record is from RNAcentral.